This 1097-nucleotide ribosomal RNA is filed under the name Fictibacillus rigui. Its description in RNAcentral is "bacterial SSU rRNA". It matches the Rfam family "Bacterial small subunit ribosomal RNA", at positions 38 to 1119 of the family's 1533-position model. The record is from RNAcentral. Lineage: Bacteria; Bacillati; Bacillota; Bacilli; Caryophanales; Fictibacillaceae.
AGGGCGGGGUGCUAAUACAUGCAAGUCGAGCGGAUUGAUGGGAGCUUGCUCCCUGAUAUCAGCGGCGGACGGGUGAGUAACACGUGGGUAACCUGCCUGUAAGACUGGGAUAACUCCGGGAAACCGGGGCUAAUACCGGAUAACUCAUUUCCUCGCAUGAGGAAAUGUUGAAAGGUGGCUUCGGCUACCACUUACAGAUGGACCCGCGGCGCAUUAGCUAGUUGGUGAGGUAACGGCUCACCAAGGCAACGAUGCGUAGCCGACCUGAGAGGGUGAUCGGCCACACUGGGACUGAAACACGGCCCAAACUCCUACGGGAGGCAGCAGUAGGGAAUCUUCCGCAAUGGACGAAAGUCUGACGGAACAACGCCGCGUGAGUGAUGAAGGUUUUCGGAUCGUAAAGCUCUGUUGUUAGGGAAGAACAAGUGCCGUUCGAAUAGGGCGGCACCUUGACGGUACCUAACCAGAAAGCCACGGCUAACUACGUGCCAGCAGCCGCGGUAAUACGUAGGUGGCAAGCGUUGUCCGGAAUUAUUGGGCGUAAAGCGCGCGCAGGUGGUUCCUUAAGUCUGAUGUGAAAGCCCACGGCUCAACCGUGGAGGGUCAUUGGAAACUGGGGAACUUGAGUGCAGAAGAAGAAAGUGGAAUUCCAAGUGUAGCGGUGAAAUGCGUAGAUAUUUGGAGGAACACCAGUGGCGAAGGCGACUUUCUGGUCUGUAACUGACACUGAGGCGCGAAAGCGUGGGGAGCAAACAGGAUUAGAUACCCUGGUAGUCCACGCCGUAAACGAUGAGUGCUAAGUGUUAGGGGGUUUCCGCCCCUUAGUGCUGCAGCUAACGCAUUAAGCACUCCGCCUGGGGAGUACGGUCGCAAGACUGAAACUCAAAGGAAUUGACGGGGGCCCGCACAAGCGGUGGAGCAUGUGGUUUAAUUCGAAGCAACGCGGAAGAACCUUACCAGGUCUUGACAUCCUCUGACAACCCUAGAGAUAGGGCUUUCCCCUUCGGGGACAGAGUGACAGUGUGCAUGGUGUCGUCAGCUCGUGUCGUGAGAUGUUGGGUAGUCCCGCAACGAGCGCACCCUUGAUCUUAGUUGCC